This is a small nuclear RNA of Stegodyphus dumicola, 109 nucleotides long. The record is from RefSeq and is a predicted model, not a curated record. NCBI's taxonomy places the organism in Eukaryota, Metazoa, Arthropoda, Arachnida, Araneae, Eresidae.
GUACUUGCUUCGGCAGUACGUAUACUAAAAUUGGAACGAUACAGAGAAGACUAGCAUGGUCCCUGCGCAAGGAUGACAUGUGUUCAUCUUCCACAAGGCCCAAACUUGU